GUCUGAACUCAAUCAGGUAGGAUUACCCGCUGAAUUUAAGCAUAUUAAUAAGCGGAGGAAAAGAAACUAACAAGGAUUCCCUUAGUAACGGCGAGUGAAGCGGGAACAGCUCAAGCUUGAAAUCGGUAUCUGUUUUACAAAUAUCGAAUUGUAGCUUUUGGAAACAGCUUUAAGCCGCUGAUUGCAGUAAAAGUUCUUUUGAAUAAGACAUCAAAGAGGGUGAUAAUCCCGUCCUUGACUGUGAUUUAAGUGGUGAUGUAAACUGUUUUCUGUGAGUCGGGUUGUUUGGGAUUGCAGCCCUAAUUGGGAGGUAAAUUUCUUCCAAAGCUAAAUAUUAGUAAGAGACCGAUAGCAAACAAGUACCGUGAGGGAAAGAUGAAAAGCACUUUGAAAAGAGAGUGAAAAGUACGUGAAAUUGUUGAAAGGGAAGCGGUUAGUAGCCAAGCAUUUUUUUGCGAGUGAAACUUGUUUCGCUUGUAAAAGGUCAACAUCGAUUGCUUUAAGAACCAAAAGGGUAGGACGUGCGGCAUCUCAAUGAAGGAAUGUAGGGAGACGUGUUGCGUGGGUUCGCCUGCGAGUUACGGCACAUUUCUUGUUAUAGCCUUUGAAAGAUGCUUUUAAGCCUUAAUUUUGGUGGCGAUCGAGGAUAAUGGUGUGUUUUGGGAAAAUUUAUUUUCCUGGUGGAAAUUUGGUUUCGAGUUAUUGUGGUGCUCUUGGUAGACAGCAUGCUGACUAUCUCGAGUUAUUUGCAGUUCUGGGGGCCAUGUUUACUAAUAAACACCUAGGAUGUUGAUGAAAAGGCACUAACCGGCCCGUCUUGAAACACGGACCAAGGAGUCCAACAUGCAUGCGAGUAUCUGGGAAUAUAUAAACCCAUAUGCGCAAUGAAAGUGAAUUAGUAGAAACUUUUAUUAGAAUGCUACCAGGAGAAAUUCUGGACAACAUCGACCGAUUUUCGAUAGCGUUGCUUGAAGAGAUUGAGUAAGAGCAUGUAUGCUGGGACCCGAAAGAUGGUGAACUAUGCCUGAAUAGGGUGAAGUCAGAGGAAACUCUGAUGGAGGCUCGUAGCGAUUCUGACGUGCAAAUCGAUCGCCAAAUUUGGGUAUAGGGGCGAAAGACUAAUCGAACCAUCUAGUAGCUGGUUCCUGC
RNAcentral lists this ribosomal RNA (1149 nucleotides) under Smittium phytotelmatum. RNAcentral's name for it is "eukaryotic LSU rRNA". It matches the Rfam family "Eukaryotic large subunit ribosomal RNA", at positions 1 to 961 of the family's 3401-position model. The record is from RNAcentral. Lineage: Eukaryota; Fungi; Kickxellomycota; Harpellomycetes; Harpellales; Legeriomycetaceae.